RNAcentral lists this ribosomal RNA (377 nucleotides) under uncultured organism. Its description in RNAcentral is "partial 16S ribosomal RNA". It matches the Rfam family "Bacterial small subunit ribosomal RNA", at positions 527 to 897 of the family's 1533-position model. The record is from RNAcentral.
GUAGGUGGCAAGCGUUGUCCGGGAAUUAUUGGGGCGUAAAGCGCGCGCAGGCGGUUCUUUUAAGUCUGAUGUGAAAGCCCACGGGCUCAACCGUGGAGGGUCAUUGGAAACUGGAGAACUUGAGUACAGAAGAGGAAAGCGGAAUUCCACGUGUAGCGGUGAAAUGCGUAGAGAUGUGGAGGAACACCAGUGGCGAAGGCGGCUUUCUGGUCUGUAACUGACGCUGAGGCGCGAAAGCGUGGGGAGCAAACAGGAUUAGAUACCCUGGUAGUCCACGCCGUAAACGAUGAGUGCUAAGUGUUAGGGGGUUUCCGCCCCUUAGUGCUGCAGCUAACGCAUUAAGCACUCCGCCUGGGGAGUACGGCCGCAAAGGCUGA